Molecule: microRNA precursor, 89 nt
Rfam family: mir-BART9 microRNA precursor family
CGGUUGUCGCGGGUGCUGGACCCGGGAUUUGAAGCAGUAAUUUAGAUUCUGUUACAAUGCCUAUGGGUCUAGUAGUUGCAGUGCCGCUC